AUAAAAGGCUAUAUAUAUAUCACCCAUUUUCCCAUCUAACUACUUCAACCAUAUUCUAUUAGUGAUCUCAUUAUUAGCAUCUGGCAGAAAAUAAAUUUAUUUGGCUGAAAAUGGGGAAGAAAGGAAGUGGUAGUUGGUUUUCCACUGUGAAGAAAGUCUUUAUUAAACCUUCUUCUAAGGAUUAUUCACCAGCAGAUCAUAAAAAGAAGGAAAAAUUAGAGAACCAAUGGCAAGAUGAAGCUCCAGAAGUUG
Molecule: long non-coding RNA, 252 nt
Organism: Solanum tuberosum (potato)
Lineage: Eukaryota; Viridiplantae; Streptophyta; Magnoliopsida; Solanales; Solanaceae
Exons: 3
Source: RefSeq, a predicted model, not a curated record